RNAcentral lists this ribosomal RNA (253 nucleotides) under uncultured bacterium. RNAcentral's name for it is "partial 16S ribosomal RNA". It matches the Rfam family "Bacterial small subunit ribosomal RNA", at positions 524 to 776 of the family's 1533-position model. The record is from RNAcentral.
UACGUAGGGUGCAAGCGUUGUCCGGAAUUAUUGGGCGUAAAGAGCUCGUAGGCGGUCUGUCGCGUCGGCUGUGAAAACUCGGGGCUCAACCCCGAGCCUGCAGUCGAUACGGGCAGACUAGAGUCCGGCAGGGGAGACUGGAAUUCCUGGUGUAGCGGUGAAAUGCGCAGAUAUCAGGAGGAACACCGGUGGCGAAGGCGGGUCUCUGGGCCGGAACUGACGCUGAGACGCGAAAGCGUGGGGAGCGAACAGG